AUUGGGCGUAAGAGCUCGUAGGCGGUUUGUCGCGUCUGCCGUGAAAGUCCGGGGCUCAACUCCGGAUCUGCGGUGGGUACGGGCAGACUAGAGUGAUGUAGGGGAGACUGGAAUUCCUGGUGUAGCGGUGAAAUGCGCAGAUAUCAGGAGGAACACCGAUGGCGAAGGCAGGUCUCUGGGCAUUAACUGACGCUGAGGAGCGAAAGCAUGGGGAGCGAACAGGAUUAGAUACCCUGGUAGUCCAUGCCGUAAACGUUGGGCACUAGGUGUGGGGGACAUUCCACGUUUUCCGCGCCGUAGCUAACGCAUUAAGUGCCCCGCCUGGGGAGUACGGCCGCAAGGCUAAAACUCAAAGGAAUUGACGGGGGCCCGCACAAGCGGCGGAGCAUGCGGAUUAAUUCGAUGCAACGCGAAGAACCUUACCAAGGCUUGACAUGGACCGGUAACACCUGGAAACAGGUGCCCCGCUUGCGGUCGGUUCACAGGUGGUGCAUGGUUGUCGUCAGCUCGUGUCGUGAGAUGUUGGGUUAAGUCCCGCAACGAGCGCAACCCUCGUUCUAUGUUGCCAGCGCGUUAUGGCGGGGACUCAUAGGAGACUGCCGGGGUCAACUCGGAGGAAGGUGGGGACGACGUCAAAUCAUCAUGCCCCUUAUGUCUUGGGCUUCACGCAUGCUACAAUGGCCGGUACAAAGGGUUGCGAUACUGUGAGGUGGAGCUAAUCCCAAAAAGCCGGUCUCAGUUCGGAUUGGGGUCUGCAACUCGACCCCAUGAAGUCGGAGUCGCUAGUAAUCGCAGAUCAGCAACGCUGCGGUGAAUACGUUCCCGGGCCUUGUACACACCGCCCGUCAAGUCACGAAAGUUGGUAACACCCGAAGCCGGUGGCCUAACCCCUUGUGGGAGGGAGCUGUCGAAGUGGGACUGCGAUUGGGA
This 930-nucleotide ribosomal RNA is filed under the name Arthrobacter sp. RNAcentral's name for it is "bacterial SSU rRNA". It matches the Rfam family "Bacterial small subunit ribosomal RNA", at positions 553 to 1480 of the family's 1533-position model. Lineage: Bacteria; Bacillati; Actinomycetota; Actinomycetes; Micrococcales; Micrococcaceae. The record is from RNAcentral.